AUUGAACGCUGGCGGCAGGCCUAACACAUGCAAGUCGAGCGAGCGGCGGACGGGAGUGUAAUGUAGGGGGACUGCCCGAUAGAGGGGGAAAACUACUGGAAACGGUGGCUAACACAGCAUACUAUCGGAUAACCCAUAUGGGAUUAGCUAGUAGGUGGGUUAAAGGCUCACCUAGGCGACGAUCUCUAGCUGGUCUGAGAGGAUGAUCAGCCACACGGGGACUGAGACACGGCCCAGACUCCUACGGAGGCAGCAGUGGGGAAUAUUGCACAAUGGGCGCAAGCCUGAUGCAGCCAUGCCGCGUUUAUGAAGAAGGCCUUAGGGUUGUAAAGUACUUUCAGCGGGGAGGCGGUACCCACAGAAGAAGCACCGGCUAACUCCGUGCCAGCAGCCGCGGUAAUUC
RNAcentral lists this ribosomal RNA (403 nucleotides) under uncultured bacterium. Its description in RNAcentral is "partial 16S ribosomal RNA". It matches the Rfam family "Bacterial small subunit ribosomal RNA", at positions 30 to 526 of the family's 1533-position model. The record is from RNAcentral.